GGGAGAUCCUUCUUAUAGAGUGAGCUCAAUUAUGGAAAUUUUAGCUUAUUUUAUUUGAUAUUUGGUGAAAACUGAGAAUUUUGACUAUUGGUUCUACUUCUAUCUUCCUUUUCACUGCCCCACCCAAAAACCCUUCUCGCCUUCCCUUCUUUGCUUCUUUGUUGAUCAGAACUAUUUGUUUGCAGGAAUCAUUUUCAAAAAGAUGUUUU
Molecule: unclassified non-coding RNA, 209 nt
Filed under: Hevea brasiliensis (rubber tree)
Lineage: Eukaryota; Viridiplantae; Streptophyta; Magnoliopsida; Malpighiales; Euphorbiaceae
Source: RNAcentral